RNAcentral lists this long non-coding RNA (2431 nucleotides) under Homo sapiens (human). RNAcentral's name for it is "HSALNT0371591". Lineage: Eukaryota; Metazoa; Chordata; Mammalia; Primates; Hominidae. The record is from RNAcentral.
CAGCCUCUGUCACCACUGUCCUCCUGGCAGCAUCCUGAAUUGCGAAGAGCCACCCCGCCCCCCAGACAUUCAGUGACCUAGACUCAGACCUCUGGGGAAGGACACAGUCUCCAGGCUCAGCCAGUAGGCAGGGGACUGUGACAGAAAGGGACAUGUGGCCAAGUCCCUCUGGUGAGAUACAAACCUGGACUUUGGCCAAACCUGGAUGUAAAUCUUCUCCCGGACUUCUCCCAGGUUUUCAACCUAGAAGCAUCUUUCUCCUGGACCUGGAAGCGAUCCCUUUGAAACACAGUCAUAAAGACAGGGCCUCUGUCUCCUGGGUCCUGUGGGAAGAGUCCUCAGGUGACCUUGGGAGUUCAUGCUUCCUCUCUAAGCCUUCGACCCCAAGCUGAAACAGUGGAGCUGCUGGAGAUGGUACUGGGUGCCCCUGCUAGCUGAGACAUUGCAGGACUUUUGGGACACGAGGUUCUGCCACUCUGAUCAGUCGUCAUCACCGUGUGUGCACAAGAGAACCCUGCAGAGCUUCCCAUGCUACAGCCAUUCAAACCUCUAAUCCUUGGAAUCCUGGUGUGGGAAAACUCAAGUGAAAAUGCCCAGGAAAUUCUGAUUGCUGCAGAGACAUUGAGGGAAUCAGCGAAUCUGGCAAUGAGGCUGGAGUGCAGUGGUGCCAUCUCAGCUUACUGCAACCUCUGACUCCCUGGUUCAAACGAUUCUCCUGCCUCAGCCUCCCGAGUAGCUGGGAUUACAGAGCUUGAGGCACCAUGACACAGAAACCAAGGACACAUGACUUCAGAUACUUAAGAAAACUCAUGUCAUCAAAUCACAUCAAGAACAUUGGAUGGCACAUCAAGACCUUCGUAAUAAGGUGGGUGUGGAUCUCAGCUAUCACACCCAGAUUGAGGAAAAAUUCCCAAAGUGAUUUUAUUUUUAGUUGUACAUCUUGUCUUUGUUUCCUUCUGAACUCCCAUUCCUCAAGAAUGGCAGAAACCCAAUCUCAGCUCUUGCAGGACCGCUAUUCUGGUUCUGAGCCCGUGACUAAGGAUUAGAGAUUCUUUGUCCUGCUGAGACAUCUGGUCUGAACAAGCAGGUAUCCUCUAUGCCAGGGCUAGGAUUUAAAUACUGGCCUCAUUCCAAAAUUUACUUUCUAUUCUCCUUCUCUGCAUACUUAGGUAGUUUGAUUUCAGCUAAGCAGAAGCAGCAGCUCUCAUUAAUUGGAACCUGGUUCUGCUGCCUUGUCCUGCCAUUCUAACACUAAAGUCCUGUUUCUCUGCUUUCAUGAGCUCCUGGGUUUUGUACACGUUCCUUUUUCACUGCAACGUGUCAAAGCCUAUUAAAAUUUUGUGUUUGAAUUUUACUAUCCAACUUCUUUUUUUUUUUUUUCUUACCAAUGAGUGCAUUCAUAUCUUGUGUCUUUGGUCUUACACUCCUAAUAACUUUGUAAAGUGGGUUAGGCAGGUACAUUCAUUUACAAAUAAAAGAACUGAGGUGCUAACAUUUUCUGGAUUUGCAUUUCUUAAAGGCAGAGUGGGGAGGUAGCAAAAGCUGUCCUGGGGACCAGCCCAGUUCUUUUUGAUCCAGUGCUGUUACAAGCAUUCAAUCUAUCUUUUACUCUCUAGUUUUCUUUUUGCUUUACUCUAGUUUGUUUUCAAUAAUCUUGGGAAUUACACAUUUUUUUUCUUUUUGAGACUGAGUCUUGCUCUGUCACUCAGGCUGGAGUGCAGUGGUGCGAUCUUGGGUCACUAUAACCUCCACCUCCCGGGUUCAAGCGAUUCUGCCACCUCAGCCUCCCAAGUAGCUGGGAUUAUAGGCACGCGCCACCAUGCUCAGCGAAUUUUUGUAUUUCUAGUAGAGAUGGGGUUUCACCAUGUUGACCAGGCUAGUCUCAAACUCCUGACCUCAGGUGAUCUGCCCGCCUUGGCCUCCCAAAGUGCUGGGUUACAGGUGUGAGCCACCACACCUGGCUGGGAAUUACACAUAUUUUAAAAGUGAAUUUUAAUUUUAUUUACUUUAAAAAUGUUGUGCAUCAUGCAAUAGAAUUAAGUUAUCACUGUCUGUUCUUUGAAAUUUUAUGCCCAAAAAUGUCAUGCAUGCUUGUAAUAGACCCAAAUAUGGGCAAGAACUACGAACGUAAUCAAAAGAAAGACAUUUCUGAGAAUUCUACCCCAACCCAGCUUUGCUAAAAACAUGAAUAGGUUACAGUUAAGUAAGACAAUUCUAGAAUAAGGUAACACUGUGUUUCAGUCUUACUGCUGGUUGACCUUGGAUAAGUUAAUAAACUUCUGUUUUCUCAGCUCACUCUGUAAAAUGUGGAGACUGGUAGUAUACACAGAAUAAAGUAAAACUGUGUUUGAGUCUUACUGCUGGUUGACCUUGGAUAAGUUAAUAAACUUCUGUUUUCUCAGCUCACUCUGUAAAAUGUGGAGACUGGUAG